UGCAAGGUCCUUCAGGGCUCUGCCAUGUUGGCGGAGUCCGCCUGAGAAGAUGACAAUCCCUCGUACUUCUGUCACCUCCCUUGUCUCUGCAAAUAAGUGCCCUGGUGGAAAAGCCAGCCAUUUCAGUCACCA
This 132-nucleotide long non-coding RNA is filed under the name Ictidomys tridecemlineatus (thirteen-lined ground squirrel). Its description in RNAcentral is "lncRNA (ENSSTOG00000032755.1)". Lineage: Eukaryota; Metazoa; Chordata; Mammalia; Rodentia; Sciuridae. The record is from RNAcentral.